Molecule: long non-coding RNA, 546 nt
Filed under: Linum usitatissimum (flax)
Lineage: Eukaryota; Viridiplantae; Streptophyta; Magnoliopsida; Malpighiales; Linaceae
Description: long non-coding RNA (LUSI_LNC002192)
Source: RNAcentral
CCUUGUCUACUUAUUUUUCUUCAUCAUAUAUUCUUUAACGGUGGAAAAUAAGUAAUCAACAAUUUAAAGUGUUUUUUUCACUAAAUCACUCCUUGAACUAAUUCUAAUUAAUAUAUUCCUAAGGAGAUUAUAUUGUCCUAUAAAUAUAAAGCUUCACGUUAGGCAAGUGUGAGGUGUAGAGAAACAAAAACAAACAAAAACUUACAGUACACAUUCUGUCUUCUAUGAAGCAUAUAUGUCCCCCUCCUACAACUUCCUACAAACUCAGAUAUUUCAAUGUAAACGACCCCAAUUUCAUGAGAUCACUGACAAUGAUCUCCUAUGCUCUCUGAGACGAGAGACUCCGACCGCUGCUUAGGCAUUAUAGCGAUUCUUUGCGUUUCUGUCAUUCUUCUUUGCAUCGUCCUGAGAAAUAGAAGUGCUAGGUGUGUAAACCACUCCGAAAAUUGUCGUAUAUGUUCAGAAAUUUCAGCUACAAAAGAAGUGUACUUACGUGAGUGACAAACCCAAUACUGUCGUUGUUAUCGAGGAACUCCUUCCACUGUC